RNAcentral lists this ribosomal RNA (255 nucleotides) under uncultured bacterium. RNAcentral's name for it is "partial 16S ribosomal RNA". It matches the Rfam family "Bacterial small subunit ribosomal RNA", at positions 524 to 777 of the family's 1533-position model. The record is from RNAcentral.
CACGUAGGGUGCGAGCGUUGUCCGGAAUUAUUGGGCGUAAAGAGCUCGUAGGCGGUGUGUCGCGUCGGCCGUGAAAACCUGCAGCUUAACUGUGGGCUUGCGGUCGAUACGGGCAUCACUGGAGUUCGGCAGGGGAGACUGGAAUUCCUGGUGUAGCGGUGAAAUGCGCAGAUAUCAGGAGGAACACCGGUGGCGAAGGCGGGUCUCUGGGUAGUAACUGACGCUGAGGAACGAAAGCGUGGGUAGCGAACAGGA